This 303-nucleotide ribosomal RNA is filed under the name uncultured bacterium. RNAcentral's name for it is "partial 16S ribosomal RNA". It matches the Rfam family "Bacterial small subunit ribosomal RNA", at positions 507 to 808 of the family's 1533-position model. The record is from RNAcentral.
AGCAGUAGCCACGGUAAUACGUAAGGUGCAAGCGUUGUUCGGAAUUAUUGGGCGUAAAGGGCAUGCAGGCGGUCGUGCAAGCCCGGCGUGAAAGACGGGGGCUCAACUCCCGAAGUGCGCUGGGAACUGCAGGGCUUGAGUUUCUGAAGGGCAGCCGGAAUUCCACGUGUAGGGGUGAAAUCUGUAGAUAUGUGGAAGAACACCAAUGGCGAAGGCAGGCUGCCGGCAGAAGACUGACGCUGAGGUGCGAAGGUGCGGGGAGCAAACAGGAUUAGAUACCCUGUAGUCCCUGUCUCUUAUACA